Cyanistes caeruleus (blue tit) is the source of this 499-nucleotide long non-coding RNA. RefSeq lists it as uncharacterized. NCBI's taxonomy places the organism in Eukaryota, Metazoa, Chordata, Aves, Passeriformes, Paridae. The record is from RefSeq and is a predicted model, not a curated record.
AUGACAUGCCUGUUCUUCUGACCAUGCUGGUUUGUGACUGCAUGGGCCCUUCACCCAGACCCUACUUUGAUCCUCCACCGUCUCUGGCAGCCUGACUCUGGGAAUGUCACAGAAUGCAGCAGGGAAGACGAGUGACUGCUGCUUUGAUUUUUUCCCAUCAUGGUGAUCUCUAUUUCCAGGGUUGUAGUGGGUUGCUCACGUGGCACAGAAGCACUCUACAAGCUGCUCACUCAACACAAGCAAGCUCCCCAUGGUUCCUACAGAAUCACUGCAUCUGAUUCUCAGUCCUCAUGAACCAGGAAAUCCUCAGUGAACUUAAAAUUCUUGUAAAAGACCUGUCUAUUUCCCUUUUUGUAUAGCACUCAUUUGUUCACAGUACUUGAUCUUUCCCAAUAUUUGUUGAGUUAUUGUAGCUGUACAGCUAAACUUAAACUUUGGAUGUUCUCAAAAGCCUGGGUACCUUCAGGCUUGAAAUGCUAUAAAGCAAUCUAACAUAUAA